RNAcentral lists this ribosomal RNA (506 nucleotides) under uncultured bacterium. Its description in RNAcentral is "partial 16S ribosomal RNA". It matches the Rfam family "Bacterial small subunit ribosomal RNA", at positions 29 to 523 of the family's 1533-position model. The record is from RNAcentral.
AGUGAACGCUGGCGGUAGGCCUAACACAUGCAAGUCGAACGGCAGCACAGGAGAGCUUGCUCUCUGGGUGGCGAGUGGCGGACGGGUGAGGAAUACAUCGGAAUCUACUCUGUCAUGGGGGAUAACGUAGGGAAACUUACGCUAAUACCGCAUACGACCUACGGGUGAAAGCAGGGGACCUUCGGGCCUUGCGCGAUUGAAUGAGCCGAUGUCGGAUUAGCUAGUUGGCGGGGUAAAGGCACACCAAGGCGACGAUCCGUAGCUGGUCUGAGAGGAUGAUCAGCCACACUGGAACUGAGACACGGUCCAGACUCCGACGGGAGGCAGCAGUGGGGAAUAUUGGACAAUGGGCGCAAGCCUGAUCCAGCCAUACCGCGUGGGUGAAGAAGGCCUUCGGGUUGUAAAGCCCUUUUGUUGGGAAAGAAAUCCAGCUGGCUAAUACCCGGUUGGGAUGACGGUACCCAAAGAAUAAGCACCGGCUAACUUCGUGCCAGCAGCCGCCGUAA